Molecule: ribosomal RNA, 253 nt
Filed under: uncultured bacterium
Lineage: Bacteria
Description: partial 16S ribosomal RNA
Rfam family: Bacterial small subunit ribosomal RNA
Source: RNAcentral
UACGUAGGUGGCAAGCGUUGUCCGGAUUUACUGGGCGUAAAGAGCGCGCAGGCGGUCGUUCAAGUCGCGUGUGAAAGCCCCCGGCUCAACUGGGGAGGGUCACGCGAUACUGAUCGACUCGAAGGCAGGAGAGGGUAGUGGAAUUCCCGGUGUAGUGGUGAAAUGCGUAGAUAUCGGGAGGAACACCAGUGGCGAAAGCGGCACCCUGGCGUCGUACUGACGCACAUGUGCGAAAGCGUGGGGAGCGAACGGG